This 490-nucleotide ribosomal RNA is filed under the name uncultured bacterium. Its description in RNAcentral is "partial 16S ribosomal RNA". It matches the Rfam family "Bacterial small subunit ribosomal RNA", at positions 30 to 507 of the family's 1533-position model. The record is from RNAcentral.
AUUGAACGCUGGCGGCAGGCCUAACACAUGCAAGUCGAGCGGCAGCGGAAAGUAGCUUGCUACUUUGCCGGCGAGCGGCGGACGGGUGAGUAAUGUCUGGGAAACUGCCUGAUGGAGGGGGAUAACUACUGGAAACGGUAGCUAAUACCGCAUAACGUCGCAAGACCAAAGAGGGGGACCUUCGGGCCUCUUGCCAUCAGAUGUUCCCAGAUGGGAUUAGCUAGUAGGUGGGGUAACGGCUCACCUAGGCGACGAUCCCUAGCUGGUCUGAGAGGAUGACCAGCCACACCGGAACUGAGACACGGUCCAGACUCCUACGGGAGGCAGCAGUGGGGAAUAUUGCACAAUGGGCGCAAGCCUGAUGCAGCCAUGCCGCGUGUAUGAAGAAGGCCUUCGGGUUGUAAAGUACUUUCAGCGGGGAGGAAGGUGUUGAGGUUAAUAACCUCAGCAAUUGACGUUACCCGCAGAAGAAGCACCGGCUAACUCCGUG